Pseudopipra pipra is the source of this 693-nucleotide long non-coding RNA. RefSeq lists it as uncharacterized. NCBI's taxonomy places the organism in Eukaryota, Metazoa, Chordata, Aves, Passeriformes, Pipridae. The transcript is spliced from 2 exons. The record is from RefSeq and is a predicted model, not a curated record.
GUGCCCGCAGCGCCGGGGGAUGGAGGGAGCCGGGAUGCGGAUCCGCCGAGGGUCGGGCUCAAGAUCUCCGAGAAUUCGCCGCGGCUGCGCGCAGGCACAGAGGGCACCCACCCGGCAACCACAGCCCUGAAUUAUUCAUCACUGGUGCCACCUCUCGAGAUGCAGCCGCCCCAGGAGCUCAGGUGUGACACACAACAAGGAGCCCGGUGGUUCCCUGGGUGCUGAGACAUCAUCUCAGGUAGAAGCCAGACAAAGAAGAGGAGCCCGUUUGGGUGCAAAGUGCCUGCACCGGGCAGGCAGCUUUGCUGUUCUCCCCUUUCCGUGGGAUCAGAAGGCGAAGAAGCCGAUUUUGGAGAGCAGUUCUGGCUCUGUGCGGCAGAGGGAAGCAGCCAGCGCCGCAUCGCCCAGAGCCACCGGCUGUCAGGCGCUAAGGACUUCAUUAUGUUCUCCAACAAAACACAAUGAACUCUGUCAUAAGUAAUCACACAGAGGACCACGCAGCCGGUAGCUCGGUGGAAGUGGCCCUCUGUGAGAGGUGGAGGGGAAUUUUCUCUGGCUUCGGGGAGAACUUACUGGGCUCGUGAAAGGAAGGAGCAAAGUGGGACACGGGGUUUGAUUCCCUCACCGGGACCUGACUCCACCUGUUGCUGUUUUACCACCAAAACACACUAAAAAUACAUAGAUUUCCUCUGA